UACAAAUAUACAUUCAAAAAAAUUAAAAAAAGAUGAGAUGUGGUAUGAUUGCCAAUACUAAUUAUAAAUAGAGCUUUCUUACAAUUUGACGAAAGGUACGUACGCUUGACGAAUCAUACGUUAGACUCGUUUUAAGGGAUCCUUUAUUUUGACAUAUUUAUGUAAUCUUAAUUGAAGCGUCAUGGAACUUCGAUGGUGUUUCAUAAUAGUGUUUGCAAGCCCCCCAAAAAAAUCUCUAUACUAAUGUACCAUUGUUUGUAAAAUAAAAAUACCACCAGGGGGAAGGAGAUUCAUAACUCUACAAAAUUUCCUAAAUAUAGGCUCGUCAGGAAACAAAAUUCUAUAAACAAAAGAAAGGUCCACAAUUAUUAGAUGAAACAAAUAAACGACGUGUAAAAGAAUGUUCAGAUCAACUGAAGAUAAUGAAUAUUAUUAAUAAAAUCUGCGGAAUACUAAGGCAACGACCAUUAACUUUGAAAUGGGGAGGGGGGGGCUAAAUAUUUGUUCCGUUUCACUUUUGUUUUCUGCGAUCGCAAGAGUCUCAUUUUUUUUUUAGAUAUAUAAGAGUAAUAUUAAUAGAAAAAAACUUCAUCGCAAAAUCUUUUUUCCACAGAUUUAGUUCACACUACUUCAAAACAUCGCAGAAUCCUUGUCUUGCAAAUCACGAUGAUCCGCGUUGACAAUUUGAUGAUGGCAUACUCAUUUAAAAUAAGUGUGAAUCUUGUCGUUAAAUUUAGAGUAUCAUACUUGAAUAAUUUCAUUAAAAUGUUAAUUUUGAAAACAAUUCCCGCGCAAAUGUGUGUAAUCGUGGUAAACAAUAGUAACGUAUCGGACAUAAGUGUAUUUGAAUUUUUUUCUUUAAUUCAGAUAUCAAAAACGUGUUUUAUUUGCAAUAUGC
Molecule: long non-coding RNA, 898 nt
Organism: Mytilus californianus (California mussel)
Lineage: Eukaryota; Metazoa; Mollusca; Bivalvia; Mytilida; Mytilidae
Exons: 2
Source: RefSeq, a predicted model, not a curated record